Molecule: long non-coding RNA, 1758 nt
Organism: Carassius auratus (goldfish)
Lineage: Eukaryota; Metazoa; Chordata; Actinopteri; Cypriniformes; Cyprinidae
Source: Ensembl
AUGCAGGUUAUGUUAUGCUAUCAGCCUGGAGCAGAUGACGUUCAGCAGAUGUUGGAUCUGGUUGAGUUCAGCGGCUGCAGGGUUCUGUGGUUGUUGAGCGGCCGCUGCGUAGCUCUUGUGUUGGGAUGGGGGUCCAGUGGUCCGCGUGGGCUCUGCUGGAGGACGAGGGCUUCUCUGUGUCGCGUAGCUCUUGUGUUGGGAUGGGGGUCCGGUGGUCCGCGUGGGCUCUGCUGGAGGACGAGGGCUUCUCUGUGUCGCGUAGCUCUUGUGUUGGGAUGGGGGUCCGGUGGUCCGUGUGGGCUCUGCUGGAGGACGAGGGCUUCUCUGUGUCGCGUAGCUCUUGUGUUGGGAUGGGGGUCCGGUGGUCCGUGUGUGCUCUGCUGGAGGACGAGGGCUUCUCUGUGUCGCGUAGCUCUUGUGUUGGGAUGGGGGUCCGGUGGUCCGUGUGGGCUCUGCUGGAGGACGAGGGCUUCUCUGUGUCGCGUAGCUCUUGUGUUGGGAUGGGGGUCCAGUGGUCCGUGUGGGCUCUGCUGGAGGACGAGGGCUUCUCUGUGUCGCGUAGCUCUUGUGUUGGGAUGGGGGUCCGGUGGUCCGUGUGGGCUCUGCUGGAGGACGAGGGCUUCUCUGUGUCGCGUAGCUCUUGUGUUGGGAUGGAGGUCCGCUGGUCCGUGUGGGCUCUGCUGGAGGACGAGGGCUUCUCUGUGUCGCGUAGCUCUUGUGUUGGGAUGGGGGUCCGGUGGUCCGCGUGGGCUCUGCUGGAGGACGAGGGCUUCUCUGUGUCGCGUAGCUCUUGUGUUGGGAUGGGGGUCCGGUGGUCCGCGUGGGCUCUGCUGGAGGACGAGGGCUUCUCUGUGUCGCGUAGCUCUUGUGUUGGGAUGGGGGUCCGGUGGUCCGUGUGGGCUCUGCUGGAGGACGAGGGCUUCUCUGUGUCGCGUAGCUCUUGUGUUGGGAUGGGGGUCCAGUGGUCCGCGUGGGCUCUGCUGGAGGACGAGGGCUUCUCUGUGUCGCGUAGCUCUUGUGUUGGGAUGGGGGUCCGGUGGUCCGCGUGGGCUCUGCUGGAGGACGAGGGCUUCUCUGUGUCGCGUAGCUCUUGUGUUGGGAUGGGGGUCCGGUGGUCCGUGUGGGCUCUGCUGGAGGACGAGGGCUUCUCUGUGUCGCGUAGCUCUUGUGUUGGGAUGGGGGUCCGGUGGUCCGUGUGUGCUCUGCUGGAGGACGAGGGCUUCUCUGUGUCGCGUAGCUCUUGUGUUGGGAUGGGGGUCCGGUGGUCCGUGUGGGCUCUGCUGGAGGACGAGGGCUUCUCUGUGUCGCGUAGCUCUUGUGUUGGGAUGGGGGUCCAGUGGUCCGUGUGGGCUCUGCUGGAGGACGAGGGCUUCUCUGUGUCGCGUAGCUCUUGUGUUGGGAUGGGGGUCCGGUGGUCCGUGUGGGCUCUGCUGGAGGACGAGGGCUUCUCUGUGUCGCGUAGCUCUUGUGUUGGGAUGUGGGUCCGCUGGUCCGUGUGGGCUCUGCUGGAGGACGAGGGCUUCUCUGUGUCGCGUAGCUCUUGUGUUGGGAUGGGGGUCCGGUGGUCCGCGUGGGCUCUGCUGGAGGACGAGGGCUCCUCUGUGUCGCGUAGCUCUUGUGUUGGGAUGGGGGUCCGGUGGUCCGCGUGGGCUCUGCUGGAGGACGAGGGCUUCUGUGUCGCGUAGCUCUUGUGUUGGGAUGGGGGUCCGCUGGUCCGUGUGGGCUCUGCUGGAGGACGAGGGCUUCUGUGUCGCGUAG